UUGCAAUGUCAAACAUUCCAGCAUACGAUGAAAGAAGUAUUUUACCUUGAGCCACAUAACAAACAACAUAUGCAAUGUGACACAGUGACAACCCAUUGACAAGAUGCCUAACUUUGACCUACAUACCAAAUCAGAUAUGCACUGCAACGUGGUAAAGGGCUACUGCUACUAUAAGAUUUCUAAACUCAAAUAACUAUUGAUGAGUCCUAUUCUGUAACCUUUCCAUCAAGCAGAAAAUGACAAAGUCAAAAUAAUAAGUGUCUAAUUAUUAGGACAAUGAAAAGUGCAUCAAUUUCAUCCUCUGCUUUCCUAAAUUUAUAACAAGAAAUACACAUUGCAUUUUAUGCCAGCCCAAGCAUCAGACAGAAUAACGGUACGAUAAGCAAAAAUAUAUUCAAAAGUUAAUCAGGUUAGAGGGGAAAAAAAAAUGCACAUCAUUAAGAAUGACAACAAUAUAAGUAAUAGGAGUAACUUCAAGAGAGAUCAAGUUAAGUAAUAAAGGCUAAUGGCAGAAUUGUAUUGUAAGUGGCUAGGAGAUGGUUCAACUCUGAAGGACCAAAGAGGCAUAUUUUAAAGUUGCCAUCAGCUAACAGUCGCAAUCUAUUGCAACCAGCA
Molecule: unclassified non-coding RNA, 615 nt
Filed under: Hevea brasiliensis (rubber tree)
Lineage: Eukaryota; Viridiplantae; Streptophyta; Magnoliopsida; Malpighiales; Euphorbiaceae
Source: RNAcentral